Molecule: ribosomal RNA, 497 nt
Filed under: uncultured bacterium
Lineage: Bacteria
Description: partial 16S ribosomal RNA
Rfam family: Bacterial small subunit ribosomal RNA
Source: RNAcentral
GAUGAACGCUGGCGGCGUGCCUAAUACAUGCAAGUCGAGCGAACAGACGAGGAGCUUGCUCCUCUGACGUUAGCGGCGGACGGGUGAGUAACACGUGGAUAACCUACCUAUAAGACUGGGAUAACUUCGGGAAACCGGAGCUAAUACCGGAUAAUAUAUUGAACCGCAUGGUUCAAUAGUGAAAGACGGUUUUGCUGUCACUUAUAGAUGGAUCCGCGCCGCAUUAGCUAGUUGGUAAGGUAACGGCUUACCAAGGCAACGAUGCGUAGCCGACCUGAGAGGGUGAUCGGCCACACUGGAACUGAGACACGGCCCAGACUCCUACGGGAGGCAGCAGUAGGGAAUCUUCCGCAAUGGGCGAAAGCCUGACGGAGCAACGCCGCGUGAGUGAUGAAGGUCUUCGGAUCGUAAAACUCUGUUAUUAGGGAAGAACAAAUGUGUAAGUAACUAUGCACGUCUUGACGGUACCUGAUGAGAAAGCCACGGCUAACUACGUG